AAGACUAUACUUUUGGGGAUCAUUUCCAUAGUCCAUUACUAGAGAAGUUUCUCUGACUGUGUAGGGGUACCGAAAACCAUGAGAAGGAGGCGCAGUGUUCUCUCCUGAUCGUGAAGCUGGCCAACUCUAGGCGUUGCUUUUCUGCAACUGCUAUUGCCAUUGAUGAUCAUUCUUCUCUUCCUUUUUGGGAGAGUAAGAGGGAGAGGAAGCAGUCUGAGUGGC
Molecule: small nucleolar RNA, 222 nt
Organism: Choloepus didactylus (southern two-toed sloth)
Lineage: Eukaryota; Metazoa; Chordata; Mammalia; Pilosa; Megalonychidae
Product: small nucleolar RNA U3
Exons: 1
Source: RefSeq, a predicted model, not a curated record